Molecule: ribosomal RNA, 301 nt
Filed under: uncultured bacterium
Lineage: Bacteria
Description: partial 16S ribosomal RNA
Rfam family: Bacterial small subunit ribosomal RNA
Source: RNAcentral
CAGUAGCCGCGGGAAUACGUAGGGCGCAAGCGUUAUCCGGAAUUAUUGGGCGUAAAGAGCUCGUAGGCGGUUUGUCGCGUCUGCCGUGAAAGUCCGGGGCUCAACCCCGGAUCUGCGGUGGGUACGGGCAGACUAGAGUGAUGUAGGGGAGACUGGAAUUCCUGGUGUAGCGGUGAAAUGCGCAGAUAUCAGGAGGAACACCGAUGGCGAAGGCAGGUCUCUGGGCAUUAACUGACGCUGAGGAGCGAAAGCAUGGGGAGCGAACAGGAUUAGAUACCCCCGUAGUCCUGUCUCUUAUACA